AUGAACGCUGGCGGCGUGCUUAACACCUGCCAGUCGCACGAUGAAGCCCAGCUUGCUGGGUGGAUUAGUGGCGAACGGGUGAGUAACACGUGAGUAACCUGCCCUUAACUCUGGGAUAAGCCUGGGAAACUGGGUCUAAUACCGGAUAGGAGCGCCUACCGCAUGGUGGGUGUUGGAAAGAUUUAUCGGUUUUGGAUGGACUCGCGGCCUAUCAGCUUGUUGGUGAGGUAAUGGCUCACCAAGGCGACGACGGGUAGCCGGCCUGAGAGGGUGACCGGCCACACUGGGACUGAGACACGGCCCAGACUCCUACGGGAGGCAGCAGUGGGGAAUAUUGCACAAUGGGCGAAAGCCUGAUGCAGCGACGCCGCGUGAGGGAUGACGGCCUUCGGGUUGUAAACCUCUUUCAGUAGGGAAGAAGCGAAAGUGACGGUACCUGCAGAAGAAGCACCGGCUAACUACGUG
RNAcentral lists this ribosomal RNA (465 nucleotides) under uncultured bacterium. Its description in RNAcentral is "partial 16S ribosomal RNA". It matches the Rfam family "Bacterial small subunit ribosomal RNA", at positions 29 to 507 of the family's 1533-position model. The record is from RNAcentral.